This is a long non-coding RNA of Camelus dromedarius (Arabian camel), 1410 nucleotides long. RefSeq lists it as uncharacterized. The transcript is spliced from 3 exons. The record is from RefSeq and is a predicted model, not a curated record. NCBI's taxonomy places the organism in Eukaryota, Metazoa, Chordata, Mammalia, Artiodactyla, Camelidae.
ACAUAAAGUAUGUGUUCCUCCAUUGUUCAGUGGCAUGCUCCAACUCUACAUGAUGGAAUGUACAUUCUGUUUGUUUGGUGCCUUUUUCCUUCAGAUUUCUGAUCUCUUUUAAGUGUGUUUUUAUUUAUCUUGGUCUGCUAGUGAGGACUCAGCUCUAGUGUACAGAUCAAAGCAUUUCCUCUCACUUUGAUCUCUUGUUGAGGAAGCAGGCAUGUCGCAUGUCCUAAAGUGAGGGGCUAGACAAAGCCUCGCUCUUCCUUCAUCCAUUCUGUGGUUUGGGGUCUCAGGGGUAAUACAUGUUGAUUCCCUAACUCAAUCAUUCAGCUGUUUCACAGCUACAGAGAACAGAGACACCUCUAAGGGAAUGCUAUUAUCCACCCUUCAUAGAGGUCACACAGACCUGGGAUCAAGCACUUCCUUGAAACCUACACUUAAUCUUAAUUUUGAACAUGUCAGUGUUGAUUUCCAGAUGCUAGCCCAGCCCACAGGAUGAAGAUUUCCACACCCCGCUAGAACUUUAAUGGCACCUAACAGUUUACCUUGAUUCCACUCCUUCAGUUCAGCAACUAUUUACCCUGGAGAAACAGAUAAUCCAGAGCUGACAAUGCAACAGGCUUCAGUGGAAGACAUUUUGCCAAGUCCUUUAACUGUGCCCUGAAAUUAACACACCAAUCCAAAAUCCAGUUCCUGCAAGUAACUUCUCCAGGAAGAGCUACAGCGAUGGGGCAGAUACUGAGAACCUUUGCUCUACAGACAUAUUUUCAUAGCUACGUGUCGCUAGUCAAGCACGCGCAUUUGGAUAUUCACCCGGGACACACGGGCACCAUCAGUGCACCUGCAUCCUCCAGUCUGUCCCGCGUGUGCUCAUCGACUGGUUCAGUGAAAAAACUGUCCCCAGAUUUGAGGUUAAUGAAGGAAGCGAAAAGACUGACAUUCAUCUGAUUAAAGCAAAAAUUCCAAAAAUACACAGUUUGUUUUAUAUGUAUACAUACAUAGUUAUAGAUUUCAUAUGUGAAAACAUGCAGGAGAAGACAUGAAUCUUCGAAAUCAAGUAUACAGAUACACAGGAAGACGUAUAUGUGUAUGCAGACAGGUAGGUCUGAAAUACUGGAUAAAAAUCACAGUAUUGUUUGAUGUUACACUCACCAGUGAAUAUGUUGCAAUAGAGAUGAUACAUUAUCUAGUUGGUUUGUAAAUGAAUAAUAGUUUUAGAAAACUAAGAUGACUUAAGAACCAGCUGGGCCCACAUAACUAUCUCUGUUAAACAAUUCGAUGUAUUCUAUUUGGAGACAUUUUUGUGAAUAAAAAGUUCAUUUAUAAAAUUUCUUUAAGUGAAUAAUUGGGAUUAGUUGGAAAUCAUUUCCAUGAAUUCUCCUAUUAAAUAUGAAGCGAUCAUUUCACCAGCCCAGA